AGCUUCUGGACAUCUUGUUGAAAUGCAGAUUCUAAUUCAGUAAGUCUGGAAGAGGGUCUGAGAGUCUGCAUUUCUAACAAGCUUCCAAGAGAUGCCAG
Homo sapiens (human) is the source of this 98-nucleotide microRNA precursor. It matches the Rfam family "mir-544 microRNA precursor family". The record is from Rfam. NCBI's taxonomy places the organism in Eukaryota, Metazoa, Chordata, Mammalia, Primates, Hominidae.